RNAcentral lists this ribosomal RNA (497 nucleotides) under uncultured bacterium. RNAcentral describes it as "partial 16S ribosomal RNA". It matches the Rfam family "Bacterial small subunit ribosomal RNA", at positions 28 to 507 of the family's 1533-position model. The record is from RNAcentral.
GAUGAACGCUGGCGGCGUGCCUAAUACAUGCAAGUCGAGCGAACGGACGAGAAGCUUGCUUCUCUGAUGUUAGCGGCGGACGGGUGAGUAACACGUGGAUAACCUACCUAUAAGACUGGGAUAACUUCGGGAAACCGGAGCUAAUACCGGAUAAUAUUUUGAACCGCAUGGUUCAAAAGUGAAAGACGGUCUUGCUGUCACUUAUAGAUGGAUCCGCGCUGCAUUAGCUAGUUGGUAAGGUAACGGCUUACCAAGGCAACGAUGCAUAGCCGACCUGAGAGGGUGAUCGGCCACACUGGAACUGAGACACGGUCCAGACUCCUACGGGAGGCAGCAGUAGGGGAUCUUCCGCAAUGGGCGAAAGACUGACGGAGCAACGCCGCGUGAGUGAUGAAGGUCUUCGGAUCGUAAAACUCUGUUAUUAGGGAAGAACAUAUGUGUAAGUAACUGUGCACAUCUUGACGGUACCUAAUCAGAAAGCCACGGCUAACUACGUG